RNAcentral lists this ribosomal RNA (340 nucleotides) under Sesamia firmata. RNAcentral describes it as "partial 16S large subunit ribosomal RNA". Lineage: Eukaryota; Metazoa; Arthropoda; Insecta; Lepidoptera; Noctuidae. The record is from RNAcentral.
CUGUCUCUUAAUUAUUAUAUUUAGAAUUUAAUUUUUUAAUCAAAAAGUUAAAAUAUUUUAAAAAGACGAGAAGACCCUAUAGAGUUUUAUAAAUUAAAUUAAUUAAGAUUAUUUAUAAAAUUAAAAUUAAGAUUUAAUUUAUUUAUUUUGUUGGGGUGAUAGAAAAAUAUAAAAAACUUUUUAUAUAUUAAAACAUUAAUAAGUGAUUAAAUGAUCCAGUAUUAUUGAUUAUAAGAAAAAAUUACCUUAGGGAUAACAGCGUAAUUUUUUUUUUUAGUUCAUAUAAAAAGAAAAGUUUGCGACCUCGAUGUUGGAUUAAGAUAAAAUUUAAAUGCAGAAG